This 373-nucleotide ribosomal RNA is filed under the name uncultured bacterium. Its description in RNAcentral is "bacterial SSU rRNA". It matches the Rfam family "Bacterial small subunit ribosomal RNA", at positions 525 to 896 of the family's 1533-position model. The record is from RNAcentral.
ACGGAGGGUGCAAGCGUUGUCCGGAAUCACUGGGCGUAAAGGGCGCGUAGGCGGCUCAUGAAGGCUGUGGUGAAAGUCCGGGGCUCAACCUCGGAUCGGCCGUGGCGACUCGUGGGCUGGAGCACUGUAGAGGCGGGUGGAAUUCCGGGUGUAGCGGUGGAAUGCGUAGAGAUCCGGAAGAACACCAGUGGCGAAGGCGGCCCGCUGGGCAGUGGCUGACGCUGAGGCGCGACAGCGUGGGGAGCAAACAGGAUUAGAUACCCUGGUAGUCCACGCCGUAAACGAUGGGCACUAGGUGCUUGGGGGAGCGACCCUCUGAGUGCCGGCGCUAACGCAUUAAGUGCCCCGCCUGGGGAGUACGGCCGCAAGGCUG